CUCUGUCCCAGCUGAAAUGUCCUGCUUUCCUUUUUGGGUUGUCCCACUUGAAAUGUCCUGUUUCCUUUUUUGGCAAACACUCUCUCUCUAUACUUAAUAUUUAAAUAAUUUCCACCAACCCACUUUAUCUACUUUAUACACAUUUCUUAAUCUCCGUGCCGAAAAGAAACAAGACAUUUAAGCUGGGACGGAGGGAGUA
RNAcentral lists this long non-coding RNA (199 nucleotides) under Salvia miltiorrhiza (redroot sage). RNAcentral's name for it is "long non-coding RNA (SMIL_LNC009250)". Lineage: Eukaryota; Viridiplantae; Streptophyta; Magnoliopsida; Lamiales; Lamiaceae. The record is from RNAcentral.